UACCAGACUCCUACGGGAGGCAGCAGUGGGGGAUAUUGCACAAUGGGGGAAACCCUGAUGCAGCGACGCCGCGUGGGCGAAGAAGUAUUUCGGUAUGUAAAGCCCUAUCAGCAGGGAAGAAGAAAUGACGGUACCUGAGUAAGAGGCACCGGCUAAAUACGUGCCAGCAGCCGCGGUAAUACGUAUGGUGCAAGCGUUAUCCGGAUUUACUGGGUGUAAAGGGAGCGCAGGCGGCACGGCAAGCCUGAUGUGAAAGCCCGCGGCCCAACCGCGGGACUGCAUUGGGAACUACCGGGCUGGAGUGCCGGAGAGGUAGGCGGAAUUCCUAGUGUAGCGGUGAAAUGCGUAGAUAUUAGGAGGAACACCAGUGGCGAAGGCGGCUUACUGGACCAUAACUGACGUUGAGGCUCGAAAGCGUGGGGAGCGAACAGGAUUAGAUACCCUUGUAA
RNAcentral lists this ribosomal RNA (449 nucleotides) under uncultured bacterium. Its description in RNAcentral is "partial 16S ribosomal RNA". It matches the Rfam family "Bacterial small subunit ribosomal RNA", at positions 329 to 793 of the family's 1533-position model. The record is from RNAcentral.